This is a transfer RNA of Rhodococcus sp. EPR-157, 74 nucleotides long. It matches the Rfam family "tRNA". Rfam says of the family: Transfer RNA (tRNA) molecules are approximately 80 nucleotides in length. The record is from Rfam. Lineage: Bacteria; Bacillati; Actinomycetota; Actinomycetes; Mycobacteriales; Nocardiaceae.
GCGCCAUUAGCUCAGUUGGUUAGAGCAGCUGACUCUUAAUCAGCGGGUCCGGGGUUCGAGUCCCUGAUGGCGCA